GAACAGUGGUCGCUGCUAGGAAGGGUUGGGGAUGGUGGGCCUCAAGCCCCUAUGCAAAGACUAGGACUAGAACUAAGGAACUGAGGCUGCAGGUGUCUGGGUGGGUGAUGCCCUAGUUCAGGGGCCUGGCAGGCGCGGGAGCCCCUCUCUGUGGGAUAGUGGCAGAGGGCGAUGUAGGAAGAGCAGUGUGGGGGCAGGGCUGAGGACCUCCAGGGCUGCUUGCUGCUGGCCUCCCUGGCUCGAGCAUGCCUCCGCCCUGGUGAUGCCCAGUGUGUGUGCAGGCGAGGGAGACGGGAUGGCAUGGACACUGGCAAAUACUGAGCAGAGAACGGUGCCAGCCACUUCCUAUACCCCAUUGUUUGGUUUUCAAUCACCCUCUGGGAGGACAUCAUGCCCCCAUUUAACAGGUGAGGAAAGGAACCCAGGGCCUGUGCCGCGGGCCCACGCCAGAACAAGGUGUGCCAGGCCAGGAGGUGGUGCAGAGACCACCCGCACCCAGGCUCUGAGCGCGCCUAUCCCUCCAUACCAUACCUGCCUCCCUGGCCACCGCAUGUGCCAUCUCCAGGCAACUGGUCUUCCCGGUCUGGUCUGGGGUCGGGGAGACAUGACCUUUGGGUGGGGCAUGGGGCAGGGGUGGGCUUGCCUUUGUCCAUGACACGGGUGCCCACGGGCUUCCUGGCUGUGGGGUGGUGAGUAGCCUGUGUCCCUGCAUGGAGGGACAGUCCCGGGCCUGCAUGGCGAGGUGCCACCUGCCGGGGCAGGACAGCGAAGGGAUGGUCAGCUCUCUGGCGGAUGACCCUCCCCUCAGCACAUGACGGAUAUUGCUGCCUGGGUUGGCUGACUUUUCUGAGACAGGAGGGAGGGGUGUUGCUGGGGCAGGGUGGGGGCCACUGGGGAGAGAUGCUGGCCGCCCGCUGGUGGGAGGCACCUCGAGGCUGUGCACCGGCGUCCUCAGGGCUCCUUCAGAGACGGCCGGUUAUGGGGCAGAGCAGUGACCUCCCCGCCCUGGGUUCCCCAGACAGGGCUGGACCUAAAGGAAAGUCAGCUGCUGGGAUUGGCCCAGGGCAGGGCUUGGGGCCUAGGGCCCCUGGUUCUAGGAAGUGAGUCCACUUGGCCUGAGCUGUCUGACACCUUGGCUUGGCCAUGUGGACUGCUCCACGCCUUGUCCCCUGAGCUGCAGGACAGCUGGGUCCUCUUAGGACUGAGGACCUUGGGUCUCUCCCAAUGGGCCCUCGGCUCAGCUAUGGAGGUGCCUCUGGGGAGCCCGGCCCACAGCCCCAGGUCUCACAUCCUUCAUGGUGGAGGCCGGGUGGGAGGGCGCCCCUGUCAGCGUCCGGUGCCUGUCAAGAGUGUGUAGAGCUGGGAAGCCGCUGGCCUGGGCUGCGGGGCUGGAGUUCUUCCAGCACUGCCUGAGGGCCCCGGAGGGGAGGUCCCCGGAGGGGAGCACCCCGGCCACGUCCCUCUCCUUUUAAACCUGGGCAAAGUUCUCUCUGGCCCCCAAAGGGAAGCCCCAGGUACAAGAUGGAGACCGCAGCCGAGCCAGUCCCUGCUCCUCAGAAGGCAGCUUGUGCCCUGGGCAUGGGUGCUGCCCCAGGGCUCACCGGAGUCAUUGUCCCCGCCUGUGCCGGGGGCUCUAAGGAAGCCCCUUCCUCCCAUGCUAGUCUGGCCCAGCUUAUGGGGAGGCUUGUCCCUGUGUGGCCAGGGCCACCGUGUCCCAUCCCUGGGGCCAUGCCUGUCACAUGCCUAUUCCUGGGCUCACUGGAAGGAGAUCUUGGCGAGGGGCUGCUGGGAGGGGUCAGGGGCCUGCAGUUUUAACCCAAGUGCCCCGGGUGGUUCUGAAGCCCCCGAAUGUUGAAGACCCCCACUUUGAAGCUUGGCCUGUUGGGCUUUGUGGCUGGCUCCACUCUUUCUCCAUCCCUGGAGCUGACGGCUGGUGGUGUCGCCAGAGAGUGACCUGCCUGUCUGGGGUGGAGGAAAAGCCAGUGUGAAGUCUCUGCCUUUGGAACUUUCCCAGUCGGGAGCACUGAGGGUGGCUGUGGCAUGGUGUUACUCUCGCCACCGGGGGGUAGCAAGAUCAGCAGAACUCUUGGGGCAGGGAGCGGAGAGGAGGUUCGGGCAUCGGUGGGGAGGGGCCCACCAGUCUGUGGAUGGUGGCAGAAGAGAGCUGGGGCCUGGUGCUGGCCCUGCGGGGUGGCGGCCACGGGCGGACCUAUGACUGGGAGUUUGAGGAGGGCACUGGGGUCGUCCUCCUGGUGUGGGCGGGAGCCUGUGCCGGGGCGCGUGGCUUUGGGCAGUGCUCCCGUGUGUGAGGUGGAUGAGUUGGUGCCUGGGCUGUGUGCCAGCAUGUGUGCGUGUAUGUGCGCUUGCUCUGUGCAUGCGUGGUGUGUGUAUGUGUGUGUGUCCACGCGUGUGCCUGUGCCUGCAGUGUCUGCCUGGGGUGAGGGCUCCCAGCUUAACACUAACUGCUUCCUCCUCUGCUGCUGCCGCCAAGUUUGAGGCCCCGGGGCCUUUCUCGGAGCAGGCCAGUCUGCUGGACCUGGACUUUGACCCCCUCCCGCCCGUGACGAGCCCUGUGAAGGCACCCACGCCCUCUGGUCAGGUUGGUUGUGCCCACCACUGCCCAUGGGCCCACCAGCUUCCAGGUGCCCAACCCUGGGCUCAUGUUGCCUAUUGGCCACGUGACCCCAGCUAGGCCUGGGUCACUGCCCUUCCCCUGGCACCUCAGCCUUCAGCCCUUAUCACCUCCUGGUUGUAGGGCAGGAAGCAGCCCCUGAUCAGCUGGGAGAACUCUCAGUAGGGGGUUGCUGAACACUUCCUGGCAACUUUGUGCUCAUCGCUUGGGGCAGAAGCAUCCUGGCUUGGGGUCUUGAAGCUCCCUGAGAGGUGUCGGGAGCUCGGCCACCUGCAAAUCUUGGAGUCUACCUGGCUCCGAGCCACUCCUGUGCCUGCUGGGCUGGAUGGCCUGGGGCGAGCGGGGGUAGGGUCCCUGGGGACUGCUUGCCGCCCUGUCUCUAACCUCUGUGCUAACUGUCCUUCUCGCCCUCACUGCUGCGCUCAGUCAAUUCCAUGGGACCUCUGGGAGGUAAGCUGCACGUCUGCUCUUUGUCCAGCCCCUGGGGGAGCCACUCUUCCAUAUGUGUCCAGGCCCACAUGCCUUGGCCUGCUCCUAGCCUGUUCACAGGUGCAUGCACCCCACACCCCCCCCACACGCAGGACACACAGGCACGUGCUCACGCACAGGGAGCUGGUGAAGCCACCCCGCUUCCAGCCAUUCUGCUGCUUCUCCCUCUGGCAGGCCCUUGGAAAAGGGGAUCUUCGGUUUAGCUUGAGACAGGGGUCCCCUGAGAUCUGGUCCUGUUUUCACAGCCUGUGAGUGUUUGCCUCCAGACAGAAGUGGGCCGGUCACCCAGGAUGGACGAGUGUCCUCAGGGUGUGGGGCAGGAGGGCCUCAGGGUAGAAGGUUCUUGCCUUCUCUGAGCUUUUUGGCAGUGGGGAGCUGUUUGGGAGGAAGGGGAGAGGGGAGGAAUGGAUGGUUUGAGAGAGUCAGGGAAGACAGGGUGUGGCUGAGUGCCUUCUGAGAGCAGGGCCUGCAGGCAGGUGCAAGGCCAUCUCACACAGCACCGUGUCACUGUCACCUGAUAGCUCAGGACACAGAGGCUCAGGGAAGGCUCAGUACUUGCCCAAGAACUGGUCAUGGUAGAGCCAGAAUUCCAACAGGGUCUCCUGGGCUCUGUCCCUGAGACCCCCUGAUACAGGCAGAGAUGCUGGGAGGGGCAGGCGGGUGUGCAGGCGCCCUUGGGGCAUGCGCUGGCAGCCCAGGCUCCUGGGAGCUCUGGAGGCUCCACCGCAGGAUUUCCCUCUGGAGGAAGCCAGAAAGAGCCAGCCUGGUGCGAGCUGGUAGGGCCAUUUUGACAAGUGGAUUUCGGUAGGUGCUGAGCUUGGGCAGCACAGUCACACCUGCCUGUCCCUUUGACAGUGGUAGGAGAGAGGAUGUGGGAGGCGGGUGGCUGGCCGGGCUCCGCUGGUACCCACCCUGCCCCCACCAACCCCAGCCGCUGGUGACAUUUUCUCUUGUCUUGUGAUCCUGCCCAUUGCCUUUCCACCCCGGCCUCCCCGCCCCCUCCCUGUUCUCUCCUCGUGGCCUGUUACCAGCCCACAGAGAGUCCAGCUGGCAGCCUGCCUUCCGGGGAGCCCAGCGCUGCCGAGGGCACCUUUGCUGUGUCCUGGCCCAGCCAGACGGCCGAGCCGGGGCCUGCCCAACCAGCAGAGGCCUCGGAGGUGGCGGGUGGGACCCAACCUGCGGCUGGAGCCCAGGAGCCAGGGGAGACGGCGGCAAGUGAAGCAGCCUCCAGCUCUCUUCCUGCUGUCGUGGUGGAGACCUUCCCAGCAACUGUGAAUGGCACCGUGGAGGGCGGCAGUGGGGCCGGGCGCUUGGACCUGCCCCCAGGUUUCAUGUUCAAGGUACAGGCCCAGCACGACUACACGGCCACUGACACAGACGAGCUGCAGCUCAAGGCUGGUGAUGUGGUGCUGGUGAUCCCCUUCCAGAACCCUGAAGAGCAGGAUGAAGGCUGGCUCAUGGGCGUGAAGGAGAGCGACUGGAACCAGCACAAGGAGCUGGAGAAGUGCCGCGGCGUCUUCCCCGAGAACUUCACUGAGAGGGUCCCAUGACGGCGGGGCCCAGGCAGCCUCCGGGCGUGUGAAGAACACCUCCCGAAAAAUGUGUGGUUCUUUUUUUUGUUUUGUUUUCGUUUUUAAUCUUUUGAAGAGCAAAGGGAAAUCAAGAGGAGACCCCCAGGCAGAGGGGCGUUCUCCCAAAGAUUAGGUCGUUUUCCAAAGAGCCGCGUCCCGGCAAGUCCGGCGGAAAUUCACCAGUGUUUCUGAAGCUGCUGUGUCCCCUAGUUGAGUUUCUGGCGCCCCUGCCUGUGCCCGCAUGUGUGCCUGGCCGCAGGGCGGGGCUGGGGGCUGCCGAGCCACCAUGCUUGCCUGAAGCUUCGGCCGCGCCACCCGGGCAAGGGUCCUCUUUUCCUGGCAGCUGCUGUGGGUGGGGCCCAGACACCAGCCUAGCCUGGCUCUGCCCCGCAGACGGUCUGUGUGCUGUUUGAAAAUAAAUCUUAGUGUUCAAAACAAAAUGAAACCCAAAAAAAAUGAUAAAAACUCUC
Molecule: small RNA, 5162 nt
Filed under: Pan troglodytes (chimpanzee)
Lineage: Eukaryota; Metazoa; Chordata; Mammalia; Primates; Hominidae
Description: retained intron
Source: RNAcentral